AUUGGUGUAUACCAAGGUCUUCUGCUGAUACCUUCAUGGUAUGUUCUGCAGGUUUGCUAAGUUAUGGAAAGUUAUUUUUUAUCUAUUGAAUUUAGAUCCGUGAGACUUUUGUUGAAGCUGAUAAGGUUAUAAUUAAAGUUUCCGACUAAUGGAUCAUCAUUUGUAAUUCCUUUUUAGAAUGUGUUUACUAUCAAGUGGUAUCAUGUAAAUGUAAUCAGAACAAAAAGGACUAGCUUCUUUGCGGGAGCAUGUUUCAAUUCUUCGCUUAACAUUUUCACUGAAACCUUGGUUUUGAUAAGAAAAUCUUGCUAUUUAUGGUUUUGGUAGUUAAGUUGAAGUUCAAUAAAGAAUAUGACCUGAGUUGGACAGAAAGUGUUGAGCAGGUACGUAAUCAUCCUGAUAGAAAUAAUAAACUCACCUCUACUUCAGUUGUUACUUCCAUCCUUCCUGUUUACUGCAUACUCUGUCUUUAUAAGCAACUCAAGCCCACUUUUUUCUUACGGUGUUUUAUGGUGUUGUGGAGUAGUGUUUCAUAAAAUAUUUAUAAGCAACUCAAGCCCACUUUUUUCUUACGGUGUUUUAUGGUGUUGUGGAGUAGUCGUCCUCAGUGCGGUGGAGCGUGGUGCCCCUGUUGUCCUGGCUUCCCUCCAUGAGCAGCCCCAACAGAUGCUAUCAAUAUUUAUGUUGAUGCCAGAUUCAGUAAAAUGCCUAGCUCAUGGAGCUAUCAUCUGAGGACACGGGUAGCACGCGGUUUCAGAUUCUCUAUUGUUUCUAUAUAGUCCAUAACGUCUACUGAGGUUCGUCUCCAAGCAUUCGGUUUUUCUUUACCCUAUCUCUUUGAUUGGCGGAGAAACAUUCGUGGAUAUGUUGCUUACCUAUAUGUGUGCAUCAUGUGAAAGAAAAAGCUAGACAUCAGCCAACCUCAGUGAAUGCACUUUGUUCGACAUAAAACAUGAGCAUAAAAGAGAGACAUGGUUGAGCUCACCAUGCUCUCUAGACGGAAUCAUCACAAAAGGUCGCAGAAGCUGCUAGGACAUUCGGGUUGGACUUUCAAAAGAAAACUCUCGAAAGAUCGUGGUUUGGAACAACUUCCAUCUCAAAGCUAAGGCGCGCACACAAUGCGCUCAGCUACAUUGAUUAAGAGACUGGAUGAUCUAGCAUGUCGAUAUUAUGUGAUUCCAGACUCCAAGAGUCGUUUGGCUGCGAGAGUGUUCCGACUUGAGAUCAACACUUCAUCUAAAGGACAUAGCAUAUCUUCAUUCACUGAUUUUGGAUUACAGUGCUGCCACAUAGGCCUAACUUCACACAUUAUGGUGUUCUUGCCAAAAUGGCGAGGGUAGCAUGUGUAGCUCUCUUCCCGGUAUUCUAGAUUAUGGACUGUGUGGAACAAGGUCAUAUUAUUUGUGGUAGCCAGUAAGUUUCUCUAAUAAUUACAAGAAGUGGUUUCGUUUCAAUGGAUACUAAGCAUCAUGUAUCUAUAUUAGGCUAUAUGGAUCAUUCGUAUGAAAAUCUUUUAUACUUAUUUGAUACAUGCGAGAGAAAUGUUGCUGAAAAAAUAGAGAACUUCUAUUCGUCCCAAAGUAGUUUGUAUGGAUAAGUAGACAGUGCAGAAAUCUGACUUAUUGACUUUAGUUCCAAAUCAUCGAAAGUAAUAGUAAAAAUGUCGUGUUUUGAAGAAAUAAAUUACAUCAUCUCACUAAUAUGUGUUUUGAGUCUGCGAAGCAAAGUUAAAUGUAUAUAAUUUCCAUGUACUGCAAUCUGAAUAUUUGUAGCUUAUGCUCAUUCAAAUAGGUUUCAUCUUUCAUGGUAUGCUAGCUAAUAGAAAUUUACUUUUCCUGAUAUGAUGCAUUGUUAACUUAGUUGGAAAUUCAUAACUACAAAGCUUCAGCUACGUAUUCCGAACAAGGUGAUAUUGAAGCUUGGACAUACCAGAGAUCAACCCGUCGAGAAGCAUGUAUAUACCAGGAAACCAAAGAAUCAGCCUAGAAGUAUGCAUUUUGUCCAGAACAAGCAGUGCACCUGCAAUAGAAAAUAAUAGCCACUUAUCUACCACUGCCACAAGUAUCUAUGUGAGCUCCAAGGAAAAACACUUAGUUACUAUGGAUCACUGCUGGAGUACUGUAAUAUCGACAAUCGCUCUGUAAUUCUAAGGUCCUUUCUUGGUUUGCUAUCAUGGCUACUAUGCAGGGAUAAUAGUGUUUUCAUAUACUGUUGAGUUUAAUGCUACACUAUGUGCUUUGUAUCGAAACAUGAAUAUAUAGAUCUAGCCUGACUUGCUCAUUCUUAUAAGUGCAUAUCAGUACAGUUAACUGGUGCGUACUAUCACCCUAUGAUGCAGACUUGAAUGUA
This is a long non-coding RNA of Lolium rigidum, 2349 nucleotides long. RefSeq lists it as uncharacterized. The record is from RefSeq and is a predicted model, not a curated record. Lineage: Eukaryota; Viridiplantae; Streptophyta; Magnoliopsida; Poales; Poaceae. The transcript has 6 exons.